RNAcentral lists this RNase P RNA (238 nucleotides) under Mesotoga prima MesG1.Ag.4.2. RNAcentral's name for it is "Bacterial RNase P class A". It matches the Rfam family "Bacterial RNase P class A", at positions 33 to 283 of the family's 367-position model. Rfam says of the family: Ribonuclease P (RNase P) is a ubiquitous endoribonuclease, found in archaea, bacteria and eukarya as well as chloroplasts and mitochondria. Its best characterised activity is the generation of mature 5'-ends of tRNAs by cleaving the 5'-leader elements of precursor-tRNAs. Lineage: Bacteria; Thermotogati; Thermotogota; Thermotogae; Kosmotogales; Kosmotogaceae. The record is from RNAcentral.
CGGAAAAUCCGAGGAAAGUCCGGACUCCAUGGGCAGGGGCGCUGGGUAACACCCAGGGAGAGUGAUCUCCGGAAAGGGCCAUAGAAAAUUAGACCGCCUUCGGGCAAGGAUGGAAAGGUGAGGUAAGAGCUCACCGGCUGUCGGGUGACCGGCAGGUCAGGUAACCCCCGUCUGGAGCAAGUCCAAGCAGAAAGGGUCUGAGGAUGCCCACCGAUUCCCUUUCGGGUAGGAUGCUUGA